This 409-nucleotide ribosomal RNA is filed under the name uncultured bacterium. RNAcentral describes it as "bacterial SSU rRNA". It matches the Rfam family "Bacterial small subunit ribosomal RNA", at positions 28 to 426 of the family's 1533-position model. The record is from RNAcentral.
GAUGAACGCUGGCGGCGUGCCUAAUACAUGCAAGUCGAGCGAAUGGAUUGAGAGCUUGCUCUCAAGAAGUUAGCGGCGGACGGGUGAGUAACACGUGGGUAACCUGCCCAUAAGACUGGGAUAACCCCGGGAAACCGGGCUAAUACCGGAUAAUAUUUUGAACUGCAUGGUUCGAAAUUGAAAGGCGGCUUCGGCUGUCACUUAUGGAUGGACCCGCGUCGCAUUAGCUAGUUGGUGAGGUAACGGCUCACCAAGGCAACGAUGCGUAGCCGACCUGAGAGGGUGAUCGGCCACACUGGGACUGAGACACGGCCCAGACUCCUACGGGAGGCAGCAGUAGGGAAUCUUCCGCAAUGGACGAAAGUCCGACGGAGCAACGCCGCGUGAGUGAUGAAGGCUUUCGGGUCGU